CCUGGCUCAGGAUGAACGCUAGCUACAGGCUUAACACAUGCAAGUCGAGGGGCAGCGGGAUUGAAGCUUGCUUCAAUUGCCGGCGACCGGCGCACGGGUGAGUAACGCGUAUCCAACCUUCCGUACACUCAGGGAUAGCCUUUCGAAAGAAAGAUUAAUACCUGAUGGUAUGAUGAGUCCGCAUGUUCACAUGAUUAAAGGUAUUCCGGUAGACGAUGGGGAUGCGUUCCAUUAGAUAGUAGGCGGGGUAACGGCCCACCUAGUCUUCGAUGGAUAGGGGUUCUGAGAGGAAGGUCCCCCACAUUGGAACUGAGACACGGUCCAAACUCCUACGGGAGGCAGCAGUGAGGAAUAUUGGUCAAUGGGCGAGAGCCUGAACCAGCCAAGUAGCGUGAAGGAUGACUGCCCUAUGGGUUGUAAACUUCUUUUAUAAAGGAAUAAAGUCGGGUAUGGAUACCCGUUUGCAUGUACUUUAUGAAUAAGGAUCGGCUAACUCCGUG
Molecule: ribosomal RNA, 500 nt
Filed under: uncultured bacterium
Lineage: Bacteria
Description: bacterial SSU rRNA
Rfam family: Bacterial small subunit ribosomal RNA
Source: RNAcentral